AUCCAUGGGCUAUUCAAUACGGAACUAGAACCAGAGCCGGCACAUUGUUUGCGGACAUUAAUUCAAUUAUUUCUCACCCAAUCCCUUGGCUAUCCCGCUCCUUUCUCCAUGGCCGAGCUCCGAAUCCCUCGCUGCCCCCUGGAGCCAGAUCUCGGCCUCCCUCCCUUUGAAUUGGCGAUGCGAGAGCAAGAGAGCGAUGGGAAGAGACGUUGGUGAGAAAGUCGGCAUCUUUUUCUUCCCUUCUCCUCAACAGCUCAACCUCCGGUCUCUUCUUUUGCUUCUUCUCUUCCUCUUUGGCAGUGGAUGAUCCGAUGAUGAGAUGCUUCGAAAUGCCUCGUCUUCUACUUCUCCUCAACAGGCUGUAAGAAGAAGUCGCAGCGGCAGAAAGAAGGGAUCUUUAAGUCGGAGGGACUUUCAUAUCGCUUUGGGAAGCCUCACUGGAGGUAGGGCUUCGUUAACCUGAAAGCCAUGGACCAGCUGCACGGGCCAAUCACGAGACCAGCACAAGGUGUCCACAAGCUUAUGGUCAAAUGAUCCAUGUUCCCCAGGGCCUAUUGAUAUGGAUGGGUGUUUUGUUAUUGUCUUUUUUUAUCUUGAUGCCCAGUGGCCUCAACGGUGUGACCUUUUUAACUGUGAAAUUUCUUGUUGUGGUACCAUUACUCUUUAGAUAGAUAUUCUAUUGGAGGACUGCAACAAAGGCCAGAUAUUGUUGCAGUUGUAGAAGGCAUCAAGAAUCCAUCAGCAAUAUUUGUCUGCACCUUGGUAUGGUAGCUACCAAGUCAUUAUGAACUACAUUGACAAGCUGCAACAAUGAUCUCAUAUUUUAUUUAAUGAGCUCAGCCAUUAUUAAAUGCUAGCUAGGCAAAAUGGAAAAAGAAACAUGUCAAUGGACAGCUCAAAGAUUACCAGACAUAUUCUUAAGUUGCAGAUUAGACUUAAAAUUUCUGCUCUGCAGAUCAUAAGGGUAUUGAGUAAAUUUCUGCUCUGCAGGUCAUAAGGGUAUUGAGUUCAUAUAAAUUACUGUGGUUAGCCUAAUUGGACUACGAGCUAUGCCCUAUCACUGUAAUUCCUUGUUGUAGAAACAUUUGUAAACAUUUAUGCCAAAAUGAUUAUCUUUUAUUUGCCGCUUCUUUUC
Non-coding RNA from Elaeis guineensis (African oil palm), 1135 nucleotides. The record is from RefSeq and is a predicted model, not a curated record. Lineage: Eukaryota; Viridiplantae; Streptophyta; Magnoliopsida; Arecales; Arecaceae.